This 324-nucleotide unclassified non-coding RNA is filed under the name soil metagenome. RNAcentral describes it as "partial contains 5.8S ribosomal RNA, internal transcribed spacer 2, and large subunit ribosomal RNA". The stretch from base 1 to 120 matches the Rfam family "5.8S ribosomal RNA", at positions 35 to 154 of the family's 154-position model. The record is from RNAcentral.
GAUGAAGAACGUAGCGAAAUGCGAUAAGUAAUGCGAAUUGCAGAAUUCAGUGAGUCAUCGAAUCUUUGAACGCACAUUGCGCCCUGUGGUAUUCCGCAGGGCAUGCCUGUUCGAGCGUCAUUUCAACCCUCAAGCCUCGCUUGGUGUUGGGCCCUGCCCGCCGCGGCCGGCCCUAAAGAUAGUGGCGGCGCCGCCUGGCCCUCAGCGUAGUACAGCUCUCGCUCCAGGGUCCGGCGGCAGCCUGCCAGAACCCCCCAACUCUGUGGUUGACCUCGGAUCAGGUAUGGAUACCCGCUGAACUUAAGCAUAUCAAUAAGCGGAGGA